AACGAACGCUGGCGGCAGGCUUAACACAUGCAAGUCGAGCGCCCCGCAAGGGGAGCGGCAGACGGGUGAGUAACGCGUGGGAACGUACCUUUUGGUUCGGAACAACUCCGGGAAACUGGAGCUAAUACCGGAUAAGCCCUAACGGGGAAAGAUUUAUCGCCGACAGAUCGGCCCGCGUCUGAUUAGCUAGUUGGUGAGGUAACGGCUCACCAAGGCGACGAUCAGUAGCUGGUCUGAGAGGAUGAUCAGCCACACUGGGACUGAGACACGGCCCAGACUCCUACGGGAGGCAGCAGUGGGGAAUAUUGGACAAUGGGCGCAAGCCUGAUCCAGCCAUGCCGCGUGAGUGAUGAAGGCCUUAGGGUUGUAAAGCUCUUUUGUCCGGGAAGAUAAUGACUGUACCGGAAGAAUAAGCCCCGGCUAACUUCGUG
This 431-nucleotide ribosomal RNA is filed under the name uncultured bacterium. RNAcentral describes it as "partial 16S ribosomal RNA". It matches the Rfam family "Bacterial small subunit ribosomal RNA", at positions 29 to 507 of the family's 1533-position model. The record is from RNAcentral.